Elephantulus edwardii (Cape elephant shrew) is the source of this 3160-nucleotide RNA transcript. It is a transcript of the gene named serine-rich coiled-coil domain-containing protein 2-like, with no coding region annotated. NCBI's taxonomy places the organism in Eukaryota, Metazoa, Chordata, Mammalia, Macroscelidea, Macroscelididae. The record is from RefSeq and is a predicted model, not a curated record. The transcript has 9 exons.
GAUUCAAUCAAUCUUUAAGGACAAAUGUACGUUUUAGCUCAUGGAAGAAAAAACACAGAUCAAGACAUUUUUGGGUUCAAAGUUGCCGAAGUAUGGAACAAAAUCUGUAAGAAGUACGCUGCAACCAAUGCCAAAUACGGCAUUCACUAAUGUAGUAGGAGUUUCCAAGAGGAGCAAUGUAAAAAAUAAUGCCUCAAAAAGUUCAUUAUUCCAUUCAUUUAAUUGGGGAGAAGCAAGUAAAUACCAACUUCAAGAACAAAGUGCUGGAAAGCUUAACAACACUCACAAUUUCCAUGAUAAAUUAAUUGAUACUGAAAAAGAUGAUGAUCCUACCAAAGGAAUGUUUGAUACAAGUAGAAUAAAAGGAGAUUUAAAAAGUGUUUCUGAACUCAUGUCAAAAAUAACAAAGCCAUCAACUAUGUUUGUGUCAUCUACAGGGGAGUUAAGCCAGAAGUCUUUAUCUAGACCAUCAAAUUUGGGUAAAUUCACCAAAACUACAUUAUUAGGAAGGACUUCAUACUCUUCAGUCAGUGCUCCAAAAUCUCAUUUGAAUGGAUUUUAUGGAAAUCGAUCAGCUGGUAAUAUGCAAAGGCCUCGAGCAAACUCCUGUGCUACCAGAAGUAGUUCUGGAGAAAGCUUAGCACAAUCCUCAGAAAAUAGUAAAUCUAUUACUUGUGAAAAAAUGGUAAGGUCACAAAGUUUUUCACAUUCCACUCAGAAUUCAUUUCUUCCACCUUCAUCUAUAACUAGAUCCCAUUCCUUCAAUAGAGCGGUAGAUCUUACUAAGCCCUAUCAGAAACAACAGCUCCACAUUAGAGUGCCUCUAAGGUCAAGUAUACUAGCAAGAAAUUCCCAACAGGCAGAAGUAUUCAAUGGAAAUGAACAUUUAGGGUAUGGCUUUAGUAGGCCUUAUCCUGCUGGUGGUAAGAAGUUGACUUUACAGAAUGGUCCCAGUGUAACUUCUACUUUGGGAUAUAGGAUGGUUCAUCCUUCUUUACUGAAAUUGAGUACACCUUCAUUUGAUGCAAGUACCACAGUUGAUGGUAAUAAAAAUGCACCUGUUGACAAAUGUAUAGAGGAACAUGCUACAGUUUUGGUUCAUGAUCGAACUACUGAAAAGGACCAAGAACUAAUUGAAAAUGAUGGUUUUAGAACAGAAAAUGACCAGAGUAUAAAGAACAGUGCUAAAAUUCGAUAUCUAAGUGAUGAUGUGGAUGAUAUUUCUUUGUCUUCUUUAUCAUCUUCUGAUAAGAAUGAUUUAAGUGAAGACUUUAGUGAUGAUUUUAUAGAUAUUGAAGACUCUAAUAGAACUCAGAUAACUCCAGAGGAAAUAUCUCUCAAAGAAGGAAAGCAUGACAAUGAACCAGAGGAUAUAUUUCAUUCUUUCAAGGAAAAUGAAAAAUCCUUCAUUAAAACUGAUGAAUGGAUAGAUAUAAGUGUAUCUGACAGGAGUGAAUGUACCAAACAUGCUUCUGAGAAUAACUUGAUUUCACCAGAUACUGAUUACAGAGCUGGUUCUUCCUUUGAACUCUCUCCAUCUGAUAGCUCUGAUGGAACAUACUUGUGGGAUGAAGAAGGCUUGGAGCCAAUUGGAAAUGUGCAUCCAGUUGGGAGCUAUGAGUCCUCUGAGAUGAACAGCAUAGAUAUUCUGAAUAAUCUUGAAUCAUGUGACCUUGAAGAUGAUGACCUUAUGCUUGAUGUGGAUCUACCCGAGGACACUCCUAUUGAAAAUGUGGAGUGUGACAGCAUGAACCGCUUUGACCGGACAGACAGGCAUGUUCGGCAGUCUCAGGAAGGAUUUUGGAAAAGGCCACCCCAGAGGUGGGGUGGACUGGAGCACUACCACCUCAGCCAUGCUGACCGUUAUCACCACCAGGGAAAAAGUGACGUGAGCCGAGGCUCUCCUUAUAGAGAAUCUCCUUUGGGUAAUUUUGAAAGCUAUGGAGGGACUCCCUUUUUCCAGGCCCAGAAGAUGUUUUUGGAUGUACCAGAAAAUACUGUGGUACUGGAUGAAAUGACUCUCCGGCACAUGGUUCAAGAUUGUACUGCUGUAAAAACUCAAUUAUUGAAACUGAAACGUCUGCUGCAUCAGCAUGAUGGAAGUGGUUCAAUGCAUGAUAUCCAACUAUCAUUGUUGUCUAGUCCCGAACCAGAAGAUAAUGAUCACACAUACAAGAAUGAAGUUUUAAUAAAUGAAAUAAAGCAACUUAAAGAGGAAAUAAAGAAAAAAGAUGAAAAAAUUCUACUAUUAGAGCAUCAACUUGCAACACGGUGUAACUGCCAUCAAAAAUCUAAAGAGGAAAAACGCACAUAUGCUGAUAAAUUUACCCAAACACUCUGGAGAAGAAUUUCUCCUCAAGUACUACAGUCUUCCCGCAGCCUCCCCAGACCCACAGACCACGCCCAGGGAAAAUUAAUAAAGCCACAGCAUGCUGACACCCUCAGUGACUGGGCUCCGCAGGGCAUGCUGAGAGUGGACAGAAGGCUCACCCAGGGCUUGCAGCAAGAAAGCAAGUAUUGUCCAGAUGGCCUGCCUAUUUCUUCAAGCCCUCAGUUUACUGAGGAUGUAUCUAGUAGUACACAUUCAGAAGCAGACCUAAGCAUAACCGUGAAUACUCCAGAGCCUUAUCAUUUGGCAGAUAACAACAUGAGUAACAUGCAGUUUGUACCCAACUCUCUUCAAACACUUCCUCAAUCAAGUUCAACUGACCAGGCUGUGGGAGCUCUAAGAAGGCAGUCUUCACCUGCGGGCUAUAUAUCACAGUCCAAAGCUUUGCAGCUUCAAAAGCCAUCCAUCUUGAAUUCUCCUCCAGUGACGAAUCCAGUCCCUCAGUCAUCUCCAAGUAAGACUGUCACUUGUAAAAAGUCCCUGGUAAUCACACCACGUAAUUCAUCAAAACUUCAAUCAGCCUCUAGUCAGACAAGUCUUACUAAUGAUUCUAAUCUGAAAGUGUCUAAACUCCAACCCCCUUCCAGCACUUUCAUACAGAAAAUCAGCAACACCCGACUAGAAUCUCAAAAUCUUCAGGCCAAGACUAGCAUCCCACGACCUCUAACACGAAGGAAGGAAAGUGUGCAGAUGCCGAAUGGCAGUUUUCAUGCUGGGGAUUGUUUGGCUGCUAAUUAAUAUUCUUAUCUUUCUAAACCAAAGAUACAUUAA